AGUGAACGCUGGCGGUAGGCCUAACACAUGCAAGUCGAACGGCAGCACAGUAAGAGCUUGCUCUUACGGGUGGCGAGUGGCGGACGGGUGAGGAAUACAUCGGAAUCUACUUUUUCGCGGGGGAUAACGUAGGGAAACUUACGCUAAUACCGCAUACGACCUACGGGUGAAAGCAGGGGAUCUUCGGACCUUGCGCGAUUGAAUGAGCCGAUGUCGGAUUAGCUAGUUGGCGGGGUAAAGGCCCACCAAGGCGACGAUCCGUAGCUGGUCUGAGAGGAUGAUCAGCCACAGUGGACUGGAGACCGGCUCCAGACUCCUAGGGGAGCGAGGAGGGGGGAAUAUUGGAAAAGGGGGGCAAGCUUGACCCACCCAUACGGGGUGGGUGAAGAAGGCUUUCGGGUUGUAAAGCCUUUUUGUGGGAAAAAAAAAGCAGAGGGUUAAUACCCCGCUGUUAUGCGGGACCCAAAAGAAGAAGCACCGGCUAAUUGCGU
This 491-nucleotide ribosomal RNA is filed under the name uncultured bacterium. Its description in RNAcentral is "partial 16S ribosomal RNA". It matches the Rfam family "Bacterial small subunit ribosomal RNA", at positions 29 to 506 of the family's 1533-position model. The record is from RNAcentral.